RNAcentral lists this long non-coding RNA (574 nucleotides) under Homo sapiens (human). RNAcentral describes it as "HSALNT0307169". The record is from RNAcentral. Lineage: Eukaryota; Metazoa; Chordata; Mammalia; Primates; Hominidae.
CUUAUUGAGGCUUCAUGUUCAACCACCUCCAAAAGGCAGGAAAAUUGAGCAGGACUACGAGCCCACAGUGUGACUGACCUUCAGCCAGGGUCCUCCUGUCACCUGCGGAAGUUUCAGAGAUGACAAGGAAAAUCUUCAUUACCAUUUCAAGAACUGGGAACAAAGAAAAAUCCCGUUCCAGGACGCAAAGGAGGAGAUGCGGGUAGCUGAACAGAAACUUUUGAAGAUUACCAUGGGAAUACACCUGUGAACUUCCAGGUUUGAUCUCAGUUACUCCCUUACUUGAAGAAGGCUUCGAUGAUUCCUCAUGGAGAAAUCCCAGAUACUUCUGCACAUGAUUCAGAGGUCCCUUACAACUGGCUUCAGCCUGCCUUCCAAGCCCUGUCUCUCGCCUCUCCCUUCCUUCACACUGUGCUUCAGCGAGAUGCUGUGUUUUUUGCAAAUGGACGGUUUGGGCAACUCUUUGUGGAGCAAGUCUAUCGGUGCCAUUUUCCCAACAACAUGGAUUCACUUCAUGUCUCUGAGUCACAUUUUGGCUGGAGUGUGGUGGCGUGAUCUUGGUUCACUGCAACCU